UUAAUUGAAGAGUUUGAUCAUGGCUCAGAUUGAACGCUGGCGGCAGGCCUAACACAUGCAAGUCGAGCGGUAGCACAGGAGAGCUUGCUCUCUGGGUGACGAGCGGCGGACGGGUGAGUAAUGUCUGGGAAACUGCCUGAUGGAGGGGGAUAACUACUGGAAACGGUAGCUAAUACCGCAUGACGUCUUCGGACCAAAGUGGGGGACCUUCGGGCCUCACGCCAUCAGAUGUGCCCAGAUGGGAUUAGCUAGUAGGUGGGGUAAUGGCUCACCUAGGCGACGAUCUCUAGCUGGUCUGAGAGGAUGACCAGCCACACUGGAACUGAGACACGGUCCAGACUCCUACGGGAGGCAGCAGUGGGGAAUAUUGCACAAUGGGCGCAAGCCUGAUGCAGCCAUGCCGCGUGUAUGAAGAAGGCCUUCGGGUUGUAAAGUACUUUCAGCGAGGAGGAAGGCAUUGUGGUUAAUAACCGCAGUGAUUGACGUUACUCGCAGAAGAAGCACCGGCUAACUCCGUGCCAGCAGCCGCGGUAA
RNAcentral lists this ribosomal RNA (534 nucleotides) under Hafnia alvei. RNAcentral's name for it is "bacterial SSU rRNA". It matches the Rfam family "Bacterial small subunit ribosomal RNA", at positions 1 to 523 of the family's 1533-position model. Lineage: Bacteria; Pseudomonadati; Pseudomonadota; Gammaproteobacteria; Enterobacterales; Hafniaceae. The record is from RNAcentral.